GGUGGAUGCCCUGGCAGUCAGAGGCGAUGAAGGGCGUACUAAUCUGCGAUAAGCGCCGGUAAGGUGAUAUGAACCGUUAUAACCGGCGAUACCCGAAUGGGGAAACCCAGUGUGAUUCGUCACACUAUCAUUAACUGAAUCCAUAGGUUAAUGAGGCGAACCGGGGGAACUGAAACAUCUAAGUACCCCGAGGAAAAGAAAUCAACCGAGAUUCCCCCAGUAGCGGCGAGCGAACGGGGAGGAGCCCAGAGCCUGAAUCAGCAUGUGUGUUAGUGGAAGCGUCUGGAAAGGCGCGCGAUACAGGGUGACAGCCCCGUACACAAAAGCGCAUGUGCUGUGAGCUCGAUGAGUAGGGCGGGACACGUGGUAUCCUGUCUGAAUAUGGGGGGACCAUCCUCCAAGGCUAAAUACUCCUGACUGACCGAUAGUGAACCAGUACCGUGAGGGAAAGGCGAAAAGAACCCCGGCGAGGGGAGUGAAAAAGAACCUGAAACCGUGUACGUACAAGCAGUGGGAGCACCCUUUGGGUGUGACUGCGUACCUUUUGUAUAAUGGGUCAGCGACUUAUAUUCUGUAGCAAGGUUAACCGAAUAGGGGAGCCGGAGGGAAACCGAGUCUUAACCGGGCGUUAAGUUGCAGGGUAUAGACCCGAAACCCGGUGAUCUAGCCAUGGGCAGGUUGAAGGUUGGGUAACACUAACUGGAGGACCGAACCGACUAAUGUUGAAAAAUUAGCGGAUGACCUGUGGCUGGGGGUGAAAGGCCAAUCAAACCGGGAGAUAGCUGGUUCUCCCCGAAAGCUAUUUAGGUAGCGCCUCGUGAAUUCAUCUCCGGGGGUAGAGCACUGUUUCGGCUAGGGGGCCAUCCCGGCUUACCAACCCGAUGCAAACUGCGAAUACCGGAGAAUGUUAUCACGGGAGACACACGGCGGGUGCUAACGUCCGUCGUGAAGAGGGAAACAACCCAGACCGCCAGCUAAGGUCCCAAAGUCAUGGUUAAGUGGGAAACGAUGUGGGAAGGCCCAGACAGCCAGGAUGUUGGCUUAGAAGCAGCCAUCAUUUAAAGAAAGCGUAAUAGCUCACUGGUCGAGUCGGCCUGCGCGGAAGAUGUAACGGGGCUAAACCAUGCACCGAAGCUGCGGCAGCGACACUGUGUGUUGUUGGGUAGGGGAGCGUUCUGUAAGCCUGUGAAGGUGUGUCGUGAGGCAUGCUGGAGGUAUCAGAAGUGCGAAUGCUGACAUAAGUAACGAUAAAGCGGGUGAAAAGCCCGCUCGCCGGAAGACCAAGGGUUCCUGUCCAACGUUAAUCGGGGCAGGGUGAGUCGACCCCUAAGGCGAGGCCGAAAGGCGUAGUCGAUGGGAAACGGGUUAAUAUUCCCGUACUUGGUGUUACUGCGAAGGGGGGACGGAGAAGGCUAUGUUGGCCGGGCGACGGUUGUCCCGGUUUAAGCGUGUAGGUGUGUGUUCCAGGUAAAUCCGGUUCACUUUAACACUGAGGCGUGACGACGAGGCACUACGGUGCUGAAGCAACAAAUGCCCUGCUUCCAGGAAAAGCCUCUAAGCAUCAGGUAACAUCAAAUCGUACCCCAAACCGACACAGGUGGUCAGGUAGAGAAUACCAAGGCGCUUGAGAGAACUCGGGUGAAGGAACUAGGCAAAAUGGUGCCGUAACUUCGGGAGAAGGCACGCUGACACGUAGGUGAAGUGAUUUACUCAUGGAGCUGAAGUCAGUCGAAGAUACCAGCUGGCUGCAACUGUUUAUUAAAAACACAGCACUGUGCAAACACGAAAGUGGACGUAUACGGUGUGACGCCUGCCCGGUGCCGGAAGGUUAAUUGAUGGGGUCAGCGCAAGCGAAGCUCCUGAUCGAAGCCCCGGUAAACGGCGGCCGUAACUAUAACGGUCCUAAGGUAGCGAAAUUCCUUGUCGGGUAAGUUCCGACCUGCACGAAUGGCGUAAUGAUGGCCAGGCUGUCUCCACCCGAGACUCAGUGAAAUUGAACUCGCUGUGAAGAUGCAGUGUACCCGCGGCAAGACGGAAAGACCCCGUGAACCUUUACUAUAGCUUGACACUGAACAUUGAGCCUUGAUGUGUAGGAUAGGUGGGAGGCUUUGAAGUGUGGACGCCAGUCUGCAUGGAGCCGACCUUGAAAUACCACCCUUUAAUGUUUGAUGUUCUAACGUGGACCCGUUACCCGGGUUGCGGACAGUGUCUGGUGGGUAGUUUGACUGGGGCGGUCUCCUCCUAAAGAGUAACGGAGGAGCACGAAGGUUGGCUAAUCCUGGUCGGACAUCAGGAGGUUAGUGCAAUGGCAUAAGCCAGCUUGACUGCGAGCGUGACGGCGCGAGCAGGUGCGAAAGCAGGUCAUAGUGAUCCGGUGGUUCUGAAUGGAAGGGCCAUCGCUCAACGGAUAAAAGGUACUCCGGGGAUAACAGGCUGAUACCGCCCAAGAGUUCAUAUCGACGGCGGUGUUUGGCACCUCGAUGUCGGCUCAUCACAUCCUGGGGCUGAAGUAGGUCCCAAGGGUAUGGCUGUUCGCCAUUUAAAGUGGUACGCGAGCUGGGUUUAGAACGUCGUGAGACAGUUCGGUCCCUAUCUGCCGUGGGCGCUGGAGAACUGAGGGGGGCUGCUCCUAGUACGAGAGGACCGGAGUGGACGCAUCACUGGUGUUCGGGUUGUCAUGCCAAUGGCACUGCCCGGUAGCUAAAUGCGGAAGAGAUAAGUGCUGAAAGCAUCUAAGCACGAAACUUGCCCCGA
Molecule: ribosomal RNA, 2754 nt
Filed under: Salmonella enterica subsp. enterica serovar Enteritidis
Lineage: Bacteria; Pseudomonadati; Pseudomonadota; Gammaproteobacteria; Enterobacterales; Enterobacteriaceae
Description: partial 23S ribosomal RNA
Rfam family: Bacterial large subunit ribosomal RNA
Source: RNAcentral